This 130-nucleotide ribosomal RNA is filed under the name Fusarium sp. Its description in RNAcentral is "partial large subunit ribosomal RNA". Lineage: Eukaryota; Fungi; Ascomycota; Sordariomycetes; Hypocreales; Nectriaceae. The record is from RNAcentral.
AAGCGCUUGUGACCAGACUUGGGCUUGGUUGAUCAUCCGGGGUUCUCCCCGGUGCACUCUUCCGGCUCAGGCCAGCAUCAGUUCGCCCUGGGGGACAAAGGCUUCGGGAAUGUGGCUCUCUCCGGGGAGU